Ribosomal RNA from Saimiri boliviensis boliviensis (Bolivian squirrel monkey), 121 nucleotides. The record is from Ensembl. NCBI's taxonomy places the organism in Eukaryota, Metazoa, Chordata, Mammalia, Primates, Cebidae.
GUCUACGGCCAUACCACCCUGAACGCGCCCGAUCUUGUCUGAUCUCGGAAGCUAAGCUGGGUUGGGCCUGGUUAGUACUUGGAUGGGAGAUUUGUAGAGUUUGAUUAUCUAGUGUCAGUCU